AUUUGACCUCAAAUCAGGUAGGGCUACCCGCUGA
Molecule: ribosomal RNA, 34 nt
Filed under: Gloiocephala phormiorum
Lineage: Eukaryota; Fungi; Basidiomycota; Agaricomycetes; Agaricales; Physalacriaceae
Description: partial 28S large subunit ribosomal RNA
Source: RNAcentral